Molecule: ribosomal RNA, 519 nt
Filed under: uncultured eukaryote
Lineage: Eukaryota
Description: SSU rRNA
Rfam family: Eukaryotic small subunit ribosomal RNA
Source: RNAcentral
AGGGCACCACCAGGAGUGGAGCCUGUGGCUUAAUUUGACUCAACACGGGAAAACUCACCCGGCCCGGACACCGUAAGGAUUGACAGAUUGAGAGCUCUUUCUUGAUUCGGUGGUUGGUGGUGCAUGGCCGUUCUUAGUUGGUGGAGCGAUUUGUCUGGUUUAUUCCGAUAACGAACGAGACUCUGGCCUACUAAAUAGAGACAGGAUUAUUACUGUCCUGGAUUCUUCUUAGAGGGACAAGUGGUUUUCAGCCACACGAAAUUGAGCAAUAACAGGUCUGUGAUGCCCUUAGAUGUCCGGGGCUGCACGCGCGCUACACUGAAGGAAUCAGCGUGCUAAAACCAUUGUCGAAAGGCAUUGGUAAACCCCUCAAAAUCCUACGUGAUUGGGAUCGGGAAUUGCAAUUAUUUCCCUUGAACGAGGAAUUCCCAGUAAGUGUGGGUCAUAAGCUCGCGUUGAUUACGUCCCUGCCCUUUGUACACACCGCCCGUCGCUGCCCGGGACUGAGCCGUUUCGAGA